ACCUUUAAUAUGCUAGGUAUCACGAAUUAACUCAUUUAGUUCUCAAAACCCUAUUAAAAUAGUAUUUUUCUUUCCCAUUUCACAGGUGAGGAAAUUGAGGCACACAGUUAUGUCACUUGCAUAAGUCACAAAGCUAGUUCAUGACCGAGCUAGAAUUGGAAUCUUGGCCAGGUAAUUCCAGAUGUUUCACUCUUAACCAUUCUAUAGAAUCAGCACCCAUCUUUGAGUCAGAGUUUGAGAUGCAAAUCCUUUACUGUAUAGCCUUGAUCAAAUGACUUCACCUCAUUGAAUUAAUCUUCUUCUGCAUAAAAUGGGGUCACCAUCUGCUUAUCUAAAUUGUUACAAAUGGGACAGUAUAUGUGCCAUUCCAGAUACCUAAUCACAGCUCAAUCGAUGCUGGUGUCUUUUUCCUUUUUCCUUCUGCAGAAAACAUGCUUUACAUAGGAUCUCUGAACUUAAAGAAUGGGAAGAAGAAAAAUCAUGUUUCCAGCUUGGGCUGCUGUUUCAUCUGUUGGACUUGCUUAAAGCGUAUGGGUUUGUUUACCCUUCCUGCAGGCAUCCAACCUGGCCUUUUAUUCCUGCUCAAGUAGGACAUGCAGCCUGCUGGGGACCCGUGGCUCAAAUCCUCCAACUGCAGGACUGCCGGCCCUGGGACUCAUGAAUAAUGGAAGUGCAGUAACCACUCCUUACAGCCCAGACGACUUUCCAGGAGCAGGCUGUACCCCGAAAGUAAACAAGGAACAAGGGGCAAGGAGACAGAGAGAGAUGGGGAAAUGAUCCCUGAAUGGAAAGGAAUGCUAUGCACACUUUUUGGAUACAGGAAGUGAGAUUCAGAGGGGUUAAACAGCUUUCCUAAAGCCACACAGCGAGAGAGUCGAUCUGAACUGAAGAUUGUUUGACAUCAAAGCUCAUUUCUUUCCCUAAAUGUCAGCAUUCUUUCCUGACUUAUUAAUUUGAUUUCUGUCCUCCCCUCAUGGAAGUUAAUUAAAGGAAUGCGAGAACCUUUUAGAAAAUCUCCAGGGCAGCUUCUGUGUUGAUCAUUGUUUCACAAUCUCUUUUCCACCCAAUCCCCACCAGCCCUUUAGAUCUGUUUCUGUUAGGCCACAUCCCAGAGCUGCACAGAUCAGGGGAGAGAGAGCUCGCCGCUAAGGCAAGUCCUCUGUCAAAUGCAACAGGGACGAG
Molecule: long non-coding RNA, 1182 nt
Filed under: Homo sapiens (human)
Lineage: Eukaryota; Metazoa; Chordata; Mammalia; Primates; Hominidae
Description: HSALNT0385928
Source: RNAcentral